GAGCAGGCCUCGUGAGCGUUACACUGGCGGUUGCCUUCUGUCUCUGAGGGGAUAACAUGUUAGCAGAAGGGUUUGCCUUCCCAAAUGUGUGCUGUAUUCCUCCCACCAUCACAGCCACUGGCUCUCUCAUUGUAUUUUUCUGUGCAAGCUGUGAAAGGUGACGUCCCUCGCAGUAAUACAGCAUGGAACUCCUUGGGCUGCAUAGGAAGUCCCUCCUACAGACAAGGACAAGAAGAGGACAAAGAAGAAACAAUGAUAAAUCUGAGCAGAUGACAGUGACCAUUCAGCAAACAAGGUGGUGCCCCCCCAUAACACAGAGUAUUUGUUGGUUACAUAUAGCACAGUGCUCAGUCAAUGCAGGCUGUGUUAACAAAAGCUCACCAAUUCACUGGUCACAUGUCCUAGGAGUUAUGGGAGACUGGAAAGUUGCCUGGUUCAUAUGGGGUGUGCAUAUACAUAUAUAAAAUCUUAUGAAUUUACAUGUGCAUUUGUGUCUGUGUACCGUGACUCUGUUUUAUAAUCAGCAAUGAUCGUUUGCUCCUUGAGGCUGGCAUCCUGUGUGUACUUGGGCGGACUCCAUUGCGUUUUAUUUCAGGAGAGCUCCUGUAAUGUGAAAAGUGCAUCUUUAUGAGGAAAGUUAGACCUGCAGAAGGACACACAUUCUUCUCCUCGACUGGGCUUACAUCCCUGCGGCCAUUGGCCCCCCCAGCUCUCGUGCCAGGCACAGCGAGCAAUGCUGCAGACAGGCUGAUGGAUCCUUGUUUUGCCCUUGGAGCUGCCAGCGAGAGCACACUCAGAUUCUAUUCGACAACAAACCAACAGGAUGUUUCUUAUUGCUACAGAAAGCUCCAGAAGAGUAGAUCCAGAGUGCACCGUUUUUGCAGUUGCCUGAUUUGAGAGGUGGGGCGGACCCAGGGCUUUCUGGGCUUGAUGUGGCAGAAGCCACCAGGUUGUACCAGGCAGGCCGUGCCACAGACCUCUGAGUACUUGCUUCCCUCACGACAGGUGUGUACAUCUGCAGUGCAGAUUAUGCAUGGGGCACAUUGUUAUUUGUUUCUUUUCUGCCUGGAAAAAUAUUUUCCUUUUAUGUAGCUCAGUGUCAUCUAAAUGAAUGAGUGCUGCCUUUCUGUCAUUUUGAAGCACAAGUAGAUUCUGCAGACACAUAUUGCAGCACGUAGCAUUCAGUGUUUAAGCUGUCUGUUUGAGCUCUACCCGAACACCGUGGCCUUGAGAUGAAUGCGUUAUACCACAGAAUAAAUUCAUUGCAGAG
This is a long non-coding RNA of Gallus gallus (chicken), 1270 nucleotides long. The record is from Ensembl. Lineage: Eukaryota; Metazoa; Chordata; Aves; Galliformes; Phasianidae.